Molecule: ribosomal RNA, 873 nt
Filed under: uncultured bacterium
Lineage: Bacteria
Description: bacterial SSU rRNA
Rfam family: Bacterial small subunit ribosomal RNA
Source: RNAcentral
CCUGGCUCAGAAUCAACGCUGGCGGCAUGCCUAACACAUGCAAGUCGAACGAGAAAGUCCUUCGGGAUGAGUACAGUGGCGCACGGGUGAGUAACGCGUGGGUUAUCUACCUCUGGGUGGGGAAUAACUCGGGGAAACUCGGGCUAAUACCGCAUAAUACGUUUACGUUAAAGCAGCAAUGCGCCUGGAGAUGAGCCUGCGUCCGAUUAGCUAGUUGGCGGGGUAAUGGCCCACCAAGGCGACGAUCGGUAGCCGGCCUGAGAGGGCGGUCGGCCACACUGGCACUGAAACACGGGCCAGACUCCUACGGGAGGCAGCAGUGAGGAAUUUUGGGCAAUGGGCGCAAGCCUGACCCAGCAAUGCCGCGUGAACGAUGAAGUCCUUCGGGAUGUAAAGUUCGUAAGCAGGAGAAGAAUACUGACGGUAUCCUGUGUAAGCCCCGGCUAACUACGUGCCAGCAGCCGCGGUAAUACGUAGGGGGCAAGCGUUGUUCGGAUUUACUGGGCGUAAAGGGCGCGUAGGCGGCGCGUAAAGUCGGACAUGAAAUCAUUGGGCUUAACCUGAUGGCUGUGCCCGAUACUUACGUGCUUGGAGUGCGGGAGAGGCAAUCGGAAUUCUCGGUGUAGCGGUGAAAUGCGUAGAUAUCGAGAGGAACUCCGGUGACGAAGGUGGGUUGCUGGACCGACACUGACGCUGAGGCGCGAAAGCUAGGGGAGCAAACGGGAUUAGAUACCCCGGUAGUCCUAGCCCUAAACGAUGAAUACUUGGUGUGCGAGUUGUUUAGUACUCGCGUGCCGUAGCUAACGCGAUAAGUAUUCCGCCUGGGGAGUAUGAUCGCAAGAUUGAAACUCAAAGGAAUUGACGGGGACCCGC